RNAcentral lists this long non-coding RNA (1979 nucleotides) under Chloebia gouldiae (Gouldian finch). RNAcentral describes it as "Erythrura gouldiae (Gouldian finch) lncRNA (ENSEGOG00005010977.1)". The record is from RNAcentral. Lineage: Eukaryota; Metazoa; Chordata; Aves; Passeriformes; Passeridae.
ACCUCCACCAGGGCCACCACCAGGGCCACCACCUGGACCUCCACCAGGGCCACCACCAGGGCCACCCCCAGGACCUUCUCCAGAACCUCCACCAGGACCACCCCCAAGACCUUCUCCAGGGCCACCCCCAGGACCUUCUCCAGGGCCACCCCCAGGACCUUCUCCAGGACCUCCACCAGGACCUCCACCAGGGCCACCACCAGGACCUUCUCCAGGACCACCACCAGGGCCUCCACCAGGGCCUCCACCAGGGCCUCCACCAGGGCCUCCACCAGGGCCACCCCCAGGGCCACCACCAGGACCUCCACCAGGGCCACCACCAGGAUCUUCUCCAGGACCACCCCCAGGGCCACCACCAGGACCUUCUCCAGAACCACCACCAUGACCUCCAGCAGGACCUCCACCAGGACCACCACCAGGACCACACCCAGGACCUUCUCCAGAACCUCCACCAGGACCUCCACCAGGACCACCCCCAGGACCAUCCCUGGAACCACCACCAGGACCUCCCCCAGGAUCUCCACCCGGAUGGGGCCGGGAGCGUCUCCCAGGAGCUCCAAGGCCACGGAUCCACAUUUGAGGAGAUCUUCCAGGUGUCCAUGGGUGUGGACAUCCCACCCAAGCCCAUGGCCAAGGUUGAGGACAUUCUCCAGGUGUCCACUGAUGGGUCCACCCCACCCAAGUCCAUGACGGUGGCCGGGAGCAUCUCCCAGGAGCUCCAAGGCCAUGGAGCCACGUUUGAAGGCAUCUCCCAGGUGUCCAUGGAUGAGGACAUCCCACCCCAGGCCGUUCCCAUGGACCAAAGCUUUGAGUUCCUCUUUGGGAGCAUCUCCCACACGUCCAUGGGUGGGGACAUCUCCUCAUGGACAGUGACCAGGGAUGGGGACAUCUCCCCCAGACCUGUGACCAUGGAUGGUCCCACCAUGGAUGGUCCCACCAUGGAUGGUCCCAACUCCCCCAGACCCAUGACCAUGGAUGGUCCCACCAUGGAAGGUCCCACCACGAAUGGUCCCACCACAGAUGGUCCCACCACAGAUGGUCCCACCACAGACGGUCCCAUCUCCCCCGGACCCCAAGUCCCCAAACUCAGCCAGGAGGAAGAGGAAGGUGCCGGCAACGAUGGCGACCACCACGCCAACGAUGACCGUGAUGACCACCAUGACCUCAGUGACCACCAUGACCACCAUGACCACCAUGACCUCAGUGACCACCAUGACCACCAUGACCACAAUGACCAUGAUGACCAUGGUGGCUCCUCCUAUGAGAAUGAAGAAAAGGAGAACCUGGAGGAGAACCUGGAUGAGAACAACCUGGAGGAGAAACUGGAGGAGAACCUGGAGGAGAAGAACCUGGAUGAGAAGAACUUGGAGGAGAACCUGGGUGAGAACCUGGAUAAGGAGAACCUGGAGGACAACCUGGAGGAGAAUCUGAAGGAGAACCUGGAGGAAAUCCUGGAGGAGAAGAACCUGGAGGAGAACCUGGAUGAGAAACUGGAUAAGGAGAACCCAGAGGAGAACCUGGAGGAGAACCUGGAUGAGAAGAACCUGGAGGAGAAACUGGAUGAGAACCCAGAGGAAAACCUGGAUGAGAACCUGGAGGAGAACCUGGAGAAGAAGAACCUGGAGGAGAACCUGGAUAAGGAGAACCUGGAUGAGAACCUGGAGGAGAACCCGGAUGAGAACCUGGAUGAGGAGAACCACGAUGCCGAAGACGAGAACGACGAAGACGAUGAAGAUGAAGAUGAUGAAGAUGAAGAUGAAGAUGAAGAUGAAGACGAUGAAGAUGAAGAUGAAGAUGAUGAAGACCAGGAGGAGGAGGAGGAGCCCCAUUUCCACACCAACCCCCUGUUCCAGCACCUGCUGCCCCCGGGGGUGCCCCCCUGGCGCCCCCACGGUGAGCGGGGUCACCCCAAAAUCCUGGGGGGGUUGGGAGACCCCAAAAUCCCCACCCGGAACCCCAAAAUCCCACAUGGGACCCCG